Homo sapiens (human) is the source of this 1401-nucleotide long non-coding RNA. Ensembl annotates it as MIR548X host gene. Its record names the gene MIR548XHG. NCBI's taxonomy places the organism in Eukaryota, Metazoa, Chordata, Mammalia, Primates, Hominidae. The record is from Ensembl.
GGCAUUCAAGCCUGCAACGGCAACCCCCUUUGGGUCUCCUCCCUUUGUAUGGGAGCUCUGUUUUCACUCUAUUUCACUCUAUUAAAUCUUGCAACUGCACUCUUCUGGUCCAUGUUUGUUACAGCUCGAGCUGAGCUUUCACUCACCGUCCACCACUGCUGUUUGCUGCCGUCGCAGACCUGCCGCUGACUCCCAUCCCUCCGGAUCCGGCAGGGUGUCCACUGUGCUUCUGAUCCAGCGAGGCGCCCAUUGCUGCUCCUGAUUGGGCUAAAGGCUUGCCGUUGUUCCUGCACGGCUAAGUGCCCGGGUUCGUCCUAAUCAAGCUAAACAGUAGUCACUGGGUUCCACGGUUCUCUUCCGUGACCCACGGCUUCUGACAGAGCUAUAACACUCACCACAUGGCCCAAGAUUCCAUUCCUUGGAAUCUGUGAGGCCAAGAACCCCAGGUUAGAGAACCUGAGGCUUGCCACCAUCUUAGAAGCGGCUUGCCACCAUCUUGGAAGUGGCUCGCCACCAUUUUGGCAACCAGGAAGGGACCUCCAAAGCGGGAGAAAGCAUUUAUGGUGAGGAGAAAAGCAGCUGGUAUCACACUCUACCCAAGUCCCAAAAGCAGGUUCACAUAACUCCUGUCUUCAUUAUCUGAUAUCCGUAUGAAGAAUGUAAGAUAGAAAAAAACAUUAGCAUUUGAGAGGAUUGAAAGAGAAGCAUUCUCAGCAGAGCCAAGAUUCACUUAGAACAAAAGGGUAAGUAGGUACUUAAUGUAAUGUGCAUGUGAUUAUUAUUUUUAUUUUUGAAACACUGAGCCUUUGGAAUGAUGUCUUCAUUUCAGAUUGUUUUUGCAUUUCAUAAGGAAAGAAAAACUAUUUUAACAAAGUAGAUGCCAGACCUAUCAGAAUGAAAGAGAAACGUAGGUGUCCAUAUCUAACCAUAUAAAAACAUCUCUUUGUAAUAAUGUGCUUUGACAUUUUUGAUAUAUGAAGUGCUUGUGAGUCAUUAAUCAACUGUCUUUAAUUAAGAGAUUCAAAAAGGAAUUGAACAAACAGCAGAGAAUAGAAAUAAAACCUCACAUCCUUCCUCAGUCAUUUGCAGGGGGUGGUAGGUGUAGGAAUAAAAUUCAAAUGUUUAUGACAUAUUGGCUCUGGAUGCAAACUUAUGAUUAUCAUGCUUUCAUGUUGGGGGAUUCAAAAUGUAUUUUAAUCAUGUAAUUGCUCAGUUUUGAUUCUACCACUGAAUACAGUUUCCUGAAAAUCAAUAGUAAUCACCAUUACUCUCUUUCUCUAGUUUUCAAUGCAUACAUUUACUUCCUUGAAACAAACAUCUCUCUACGACCUCUUUGUCACAUUGAUGAAUGGUGUUAAAAGAAAGAAUAAUGUAUUUAAUAAAUCCCAACAUUCAGUGAAA